This 439-nucleotide ribosomal RNA is filed under the name uncultured bacterium. Its description in RNAcentral is "partial 16S ribosomal RNA". It matches the Rfam family "Bacterial small subunit ribosomal RNA", at positions 339 to 795 of the family's 1533-position model. The record is from RNAcentral.
CUACGGGUGGCACCAGUGGGGAAUAUUGCACAAUGGACGAAAGUCUGAUGCAGCAACGCCGCGUGGAGGAUGACACAUUUCGGUGCGUAAACUCCUUUUAUAUAGGAAGAUAAUGACGGUACUAUAUGAAUAAGCACCGGCUAACUCCGUGCCAGCAGCCGCGGUAAUACGGAGGGUGCAAGCGUUACUCGGAAUCACUGGGCGUAAAGAGCGUGUAGGCGGGUUAAUAAGUUGGAAGUGAAAUCCUAUGGCUCAACCAUAGAACUGCUUCCAAAACUGUUAACCUAGAAUAUGGGAGAGGUAGAUGGAAUUUCUGGUGUAGGGGUAAAAUCCGUAGAGAUCAGAAGGAAUACCGAUUGCGAAGGCGAUCUACUGGAACAUUAUUGACGCUGAGACGCGAAAGCGUGGGGAGCAAACAGGAUUAGAUACCCGGGUAGUC